ACGCUGGCGGCGUGCCUAACACAUGCAAGUCAACUUGACUGAAGAGCAAUCUGACAGUAGAGUGGCGCAAGGGUGCGUAACGCGUAAGUACUGCCCAAGGUAAGGAAUAACGUCGAGAAAUCGGCGCUAAUACCUCAUAAUGCAGCGGAUCCGCAUGGAUAUGUUGUUAAAGGUUUACCGCCUUGGGAUAGGCUUGCGUCUGAUUAGCUAGUUGGUGUGGUAACGGCACACCAAGGCUACGAUCAGUAACUGGUCUGAGAGGAUGAUCAGUCACACUGGAACUGAGACACGGUCCAGACUCCUACGGGAGGCAGCAGUGAGGAAUAUUGGGCAAUGCUCGAAAGAGUGACCCAGCAACGCCGCGUGGAGGAUGAAGGUAUUCUAUAUCGUAAACUCCUGUGAGAGCAGACGAAAGAUAGAUUAUUAAUCUGGAUGACUGUAUGCUCAGAGGAAGCCCCGGCUAACUACGUG
Molecule: ribosomal RNA, 471 nt
Filed under: uncultured bacterium
Lineage: Bacteria
Description: bacterial SSU rRNA
Rfam family: Bacterial small subunit ribosomal RNA
Source: RNAcentral